Molecule: ribosomal RNA, 458 nt
Filed under: uncultured bacterium
Lineage: Bacteria
Description: partial 16S ribosomal RNA
Rfam family: Bacterial small subunit ribosomal RNA
Source: RNAcentral
CCUACGGGUGGCAGCAGUGAGGAAUAUUGGUCAAUGGGCGAGAGCCUGAACCAGCCAAGUCGCGUGAGGGAGUACUGCCCUACGGGUUGUAAACCUCUUUUGUCGGGGAGCAAAAGCCGGAAGUGUCCGGCUGUGAGAGUAUCCGCAGAAAAAGAAUCGGCUCACGCCGGGGCAGCAGCCGCGGUAAUACGGAGGAUGCGAGCGGUAUCCGGAUUUAUUGGGUUUAAAGGGUGCGCAGGCGGCGUUUUAAGGCAGCGGUCAAAUCGUGGGGCUCAACCCCAUCCAGCCGUUGAAACUGGGGAUCUAGAGGUUGCGAGAGGGAUGCGGAAUGCGUGGGGUAGCGGUGAAAUGCAUAGAUAUCACGCAGAACCCCGAUUGCGAAGGCAGCAUACCGGUGCACAACUGACGCUCAGGCACGAAAGCGUGGGUAUCGAACAGGAUUAGAUACCCUUGUAGUC